This 474-nucleotide ribosomal RNA is filed under the name Streptococcus parasanguinis. RNAcentral's name for it is "bacterial SSU rRNA". It matches the Rfam family "Bacterial small subunit ribosomal RNA", at positions 28 to 485 of the family's 1533-position model. Lineage: Bacteria; Bacillati; Bacillota; Bacilli; Lactobacillales; Streptococcaceae. The record is from RNAcentral.
GAUGAACGCUGGCGGCGUGCCUAAUACAUGCAAGUAGAACGCUGAAGCUUGGUGCUCGCACCGAGCGGAUGAGUUGCGAACGGGUGAGUAACGCGUAGGUAACCUGCCUCUUAGCGGGGGAUAACUAUUGGAAACGAUAGCUAAUACCGCAUAAAAGUCGACAUUGCAUGAUGUUGACUUGAAAGGUGCAAUUGCAUCACUAAGAGAUGGACCUGCGUUGUAUUAGCUAGUUGGUGAGGUAACGGCUCACCAAGGCAACGAUACAUAGCCGACCUGAGAGGGUGAUCGGCCACACUGGGACUGAGACACGGCCCAGACUCCUACGGGAGGCAGCAGUAGGGAAUCUUCGGCAAUGGGGGCAACCCUGACCGAGCAACGCCGCGUGAGUGAAGAAGGUUUUCGGAUCGUAAAGCUCUGUUGUAAGAGAAGAACGAGUGUGAGAGUGGAAAGUUCACACUGUGACGGUAACUACCA